UUGAACGCUGGCGGCAUGCUUUACACAUGCACGUCGAACGGUAACAGGCCUUCGGGUGCUGCCGAGUGGCGAACGGGUGAGUAAUGCAUCGGAACGUGCCCAGAGGUGGGGGAUAACGCAGCGAAAGCUGUGCUAAUACCGCAUGUGAUCUGAGGAUGAAAGCGGGGGACCAGGCAGCAAUGUUUGGCCUCGCGCCUUUGGAGCGGCCGAUGUCAGAUUAGGUAGUUGGUGGGGUAAAGGCUUACCAAGCCGACGAUCUGUAGCUGGUCUGAGAGGACGACCAGCCACACUGGGACUGAGACACGGCCCAGACUCCUACGGGAGGCAGCAGUGGGGAAUUUUGGACAAUGGGCGCAAGCCUGAUCCAGCAAUGCCGCGUGCGGGAAGAAGGCCUUCGGGUUGUAAACCGCUUUUGUACGGAACGAAAAGGCUCUGGCUAAUACCUGGGGCUGAUGACGGUACCGUAAGAAUAAGCACCGGCUAACUACGUG
Molecule: ribosomal RNA, 491 nt
Filed under: uncultured bacterium
Lineage: Bacteria
Description: partial 16S ribosomal RNA
Rfam family: Bacterial small subunit ribosomal RNA
Source: RNAcentral